Molecule: ribosomal RNA, 253 nt
Filed under: uncultured bacterium
Lineage: Bacteria
Description: partial 16S ribosomal RNA
Rfam family: Bacterial small subunit ribosomal RNA
Source: RNAcentral
UACGAAGGGGACUAGCGUUGUUCGGAAUCACUGGGCGUAAAGCGCACGUAGGCGGAUUUGUAAGUCAGGGGUGAAAUCCCGGGGCUCAACCUCGGAACUGCCUUUGAUACUGCGAAUCUUGAGUCCGAUAGAGGUGGGUGGAAUUCCUAGUGUAGAGGUGAAAUUCGUAGAUAUUAGGAAGAACACCAGCGGCGAAGGCGGCGCUCUGGGCCGGUACUGACGCUGAGGAGCGAAAGCGUGGGUAGCAAACAGG